AAGUAGUAUGUGAUUAUUCUUGAAACUUAAAAGAUUUGGCGGUAUUUUAUCUUAUUAGAGGAACCUGUGUAUUAAAUGAUAUUCCACGACUUAAUUUACUUUAUAAAAAAUAUUUGUAUACCGCUGUCAUGGAUAUAUUUCAAAGUUUAAUUUAAAAUAAUAUAAAUUUUAUGUUAGGUCAAGGUGCAGUAUAUUAAGGAUAUUAUGGGUUACUUUUAAAAUUAUGAAUGUAAGAAAGAGGAUUUAAAAGUAAGUUUAUUAAAGAAAUAUGUUGAAUAAAGAUUCUAAAAUAUG
Molecule: ribosomal RNA, 294 nt
Filed under: Rhodochlanis suaedicola
Lineage: Eukaryota; Metazoa; Arthropoda; Insecta; Hemiptera; Aphalaridae
Description: partial 12S ribosomal RNA
Source: RNAcentral